GAUGAACGCCGGCGGCGUGCCCAAUACAUGCAAGUCGAGCGAACGGACGAGAAGCUUGCUUCUCUGAUGUUAGCGGCGGACGGGUGAGUAACACGUGGAUAACCUACCUAUAAGACUGGGAUAACUUCGGGAAACCGUAGCUAAUACCGGAUAAUAUUUUGAACCGCAUGGUUCAAAAGUGAAAGACGGUCUUGCUGUCACUUAUAGAUGGAUCCGCGCUGCAUUAGCUAGUUGGUAAGGUAACGGCUUACCAAGGCAACGAUGCAUAGCCGACCUGAGAGGGUGAUCGGCUACACUGGAACUGAGACACGGUCCAGACUCCUACGGGAGGCAGCAGUAGGGAAUCUUCCGCAAUGGGCGAAAGCCUGACGGAGCAACGCCGCGUGAGUGAUGAAGGUCUUCGGAUCGUAAAACUCUGUUAUUAGGGAAGAACAUAUGUGUAAGUAACUGUGCACAUCUUGACGGUACCUAAUCAGAAAGCCACGGCUAACUACGUG
This 497-nucleotide ribosomal RNA is filed under the name uncultured bacterium. Its description in RNAcentral is "partial 16S ribosomal RNA". It matches the Rfam family "Bacterial small subunit ribosomal RNA", at positions 28 to 507 of the family's 1533-position model. The record is from RNAcentral.